GAGAUAAGGAGGGAAUUUGGAACUGGACUGUUUAUCUGUGAUUUUUUUUUUUUUUGAUUGUGUCCAGGGAGCCUGUAAAACUGGGGAUCUUGUGUCACAUACUAUCAAGGUCAGACGAGCAGGUUGUGAAGGAAGGACUAAUGGAAAACAUGCAGGUGCCCAAAGACAAGGAUUUAUCGCAUCACUGGAUGUAAAAUAGACAGAAUGAACAGAAAAUUAUUCAUAGGUAAGAAGAGCGUUUCUGAGCAUGUGUUAUAUAAGGCCAUCCAAACUCUGUAAGCUGAG
This 285-nucleotide long non-coding RNA is filed under the name Struthio camelus australis. RNAcentral describes it as "lncRNA (ENSSCUG00000017485.1)". The record is from RNAcentral. Lineage: Eukaryota; Metazoa; Chordata; Aves; Struthioniformes; Struthionidae.